RNAcentral lists this ribosomal RNA (1866 nucleotides) under Nocardia seriolae. RNAcentral's name for it is "bacterial LSU rRNA". It matches the Rfam family "Bacterial large subunit ribosomal RNA", at positions 407 to 2142 of the family's 2925-position model. Lineage: Bacteria; Bacillati; Actinomycetota; Actinomycetes; Mycobacteriales; Nocardiaceae. The record is from RNAcentral.
CCCGAGUAGCAGCGGGCCCGUGAAAUCUGCUGUGAAUCUGUCGGGACCACCCGAUAAGCCUGAAUACUACCUGGUGACCGAUAGCGGACUAGUACCGUGAGGGAAAGGUGAAAAGUACCCCGGGAGGGGAGUGAAAUAGUACCUGAAACCGUGCGCUUACAAUCCGUCAGAGCUGUAAUAGGUGAUGGCGUGCCUUUUGAAGAAUGAGCCUGCGAGUCAUCGGUGUGUGGCGAGGUUAACCCGUGUGGGGGAGCCGUAGCGAAAGCGAGUCCGAAUAGGGCGCCGCAGUCGCACACUAUGGACCCGAAGCGGAGUGAUCUACCCAUGGCCAGGGUGAAGCGACGGUAAGACGUCGUGGAGGCCCGAACCCACUUAGGUUGAAAACUGAGGGGAUGAGCUGUGGGUAGGGGUGAAAGGCCAAUCAAACUCCGUGAUAGCUGGUUCUCCCCGAAAUGCAUUUAGGUGCAGCGUCGCGUGUUUCUCACCGGAGGUAGAGCUACUGGAUGGCCUAGGGGGCCCACAAGCUUACCGAAGUCAGCCAAACUCCGAAUGCCGGUGAGUGAGAGCGCGGCAGUGAGACUGUGGGGGAUAAGCUUCAUAGUCGAGAGGGAAACAGCCCAGAUCGCCGGCUAAGGCCCCUAAGCGUGUACUAAGUGGAAAAGGAUGUGGAGUCGCGAAGACAACCAGGAGGUUGGCUUAGAAGCAGCCACCCUUGAAAGAGUGCGUAAUAGCUCACUGGUCAAGUGAUUCUGCGCCGACAAUGUAGCGGGGCUCAAGUACACCGCCGAAGCCGCGGCAUUCGCACAUUAUCCCGCCUUCGGGCCAGGAGUGCGGAUGGGUAGGGGAGCGUCGUAUGGCCAGGGAAGCGGCGGAGUGAUCCAGCCGUGGAGGCCAUGCGAGUGAGAAUGCAGGCAUGAGUAGCGAAAGACGAGUGAGAAACUCGUCCGCCGAAUGACCAAGGGUUCCUGGGCCAGGUUAAUCCGCCCAGGGUGAGUCGGGACCUAAGGCGAGGCCGACAGGCGUAGUCGAUGGACAACGGGUUGAUAUUCCCGUACCCGUGUAUCCGCGCCAAAUAUCGAAUCAGUUGUGCUAAGUGCCCAAAAGCGGAUGGACCUCCUUCGGGAGGACGGAAGUGGCUGCGCACGACCCUGGCUGUAGUAGGUAAGCGAUGGGGUGACGUAGGAAGGUAGCUGGGCCAGGUGAUGGAAUACCUGGUGUAAGCCUGUAGGGUGUUGUGUAGGCAAAUCCGCACAGCAUAUGGCCUGAGAGGUGAUGCGUAGCCGAUUGAGGCGAAUUCAGUGAUCCUAUGCUGCCGAGAAAAGCCUCUAGUGAGUUGGUACACGGCCCGUACCCCAAACCGACACAGGUGGUCAGGUAGAGAAUACUAAGGCGAUCGAGAUAACUGUGGUUAAGGAACUCGGCAAAAUACCUCCGUAACUUCGGGAGAAGGAGGGCCCGGUCUGGUGAACGCCCUUGCGGUGGGAGCUGGGUUGGGUCGCAGAGACCAGUGAGAAGCGACUGUUUACUAAAAACACAGGUCCGUGCGAAGUCGUAAGACGAUGUAUACGGACUGACGCCUGCCCGGUGCCGGAAGGUUAAGAGGACCGGUUAGCGCCCUUGGGUGCGAAGCUGAGAAUUUAAGCCCCGGUAAACGGCGGUGGUAACUAUAACCAUCCUAAGGUAGCGAAAUUCCUUGUCGGGUAAGUUCCGACCUGCACGAAUGGCGUAACGACUUCUCAGCUGUCUCAACCACAGACUCGGCGAAAUUGCAGUACGAGUAAAGAUGCUCGUUACGCGCGGCAGGACGAAAAGACCCCGGGACCUUCACUAUAGCUUGGUAUUGGUGUUCGGUACGGUUUGUGUAGG